GGGGAUGUAGCUCAGUGGUAGAGCGCUUGCUUUGCAUGUAAGAGGUCCGGGGUUCGAACCCCCGCAUCUCCA
Molecule: transfer RNA, 72 nt
Filed under: Pseudomonadota bacterium
Lineage: Bacteria; Pseudomonadati; Pseudomonadota
Also listed under: 4 other names
Description: tRNA-Ala
Rfam family: tRNA
About the family: Transfer RNA (tRNA) molecules are approximately 80 nucleotides in length. Their secondary structure includes four short double-helical elements and three loops (D, anti-codon, and T loops).
Source: RNAcentral